RNAcentral lists this unclassified non-coding RNA (174 nucleotides) under Human mastadenovirus B. The record is from RNAcentral. Lineage: Varidnaviria; Bamfordvirae; Preplasmiviricota; Pharingeaviricetes; Rowavirales; Adenoviridae.
GGCUCGCGCCCGUAGUCUGGAGAAUUAAUCGCCAGGGUUGCGUUGCGGUGUGCCCCGGUUCGAGUCUUAGCGCGCCGGAUCGGCCGGUUUCCGCGACUUCUCCAGUUUACGGGAGCGAGCCCUCUUUUUUUUUUGUUUUUUGUUGCCCAGAUGCAUCCCGUGCUGCGACAGAUG